AUUUCUUAUGAUCUUCCCUCAGCUCUCACAACCAGCGGACUCAUCUGGGCGAGGUACAGCUCGGUAAUAACCCCGAAGAACUGGAACCUCUUCAGUGUCAGCAUCGGGAUGGCUUCGGUCUCUGCGUACCAACUUGUGCGCAAACUUGAGCACGACUUCUCGUCCAAGCACAAAGCAGCUGCGAUAGAAUAGUCCAUCCAUCUCUACUAAAACAUCGGGAGUUUCGGGACUUCCAUUCGAUCUCUCCCCCUACAUAGUUCAGAGGCUUACCGUGCUUUGGAAUAACCAAGUGGUUUUCACCUUGCUCUCAGAAAUAUGACCGCAUG
Molecule: long non-coding RNA, 326 nt
Organism: Syzygium oleosum
Lineage: Eukaryota; Viridiplantae; Streptophyta; Magnoliopsida; Myrtales; Myrtaceae
Exons: 3
Source: RefSeq, a predicted model, not a curated record